Molecule: small nuclear RNA, 116 nt
Filed under: Propithecus coquereli (Coquerel's sifaka)
Lineage: Eukaryota; Metazoa; Chordata; Mammalia; Primates; Indriidae
Description: U5 spliceosomal RNA (ENSPCOG00000009373.1)
Rfam family: U5 spliceosomal RNA
About the family: U5 RNA is a component of both types of known spliceosome. The precise function of this molecule is unknown, though it is known that the 5' loop is required for splice site selection and p220 binding, and that both the 3' stem-loop and the Sm site are important for Sm protein binding and cap methylation.
Source: RNAcentral
ACACUAUUACUUCUUUUCAAAAUGAAGAAAUCUUUUGCUUUUUACUAAAGAUUUUCAUGGAGAGAAAUAGUUAUGAGUUGGUAACCAAAUUUUUUGAAGCCUUCUCAGGCAAGGCU